UUGGACGAUUAAAAUAGGAUAUUUUUCUGGAUAAAUUUGCAAUUUUCAUUGGUUCAUACGUAUGAAGAAAAUUGUGAUUUAUAUGAAACAAAAUCAAACACGAGCACGUUGUGCGAGCAACAUGAUCAUCGUUUGGUUUGUUUUCACGGUCUCGAGGAUAGAUGGAAGAACGGAGGUCAAAACGUACGAACGUUGGUGUUUUGCUAUUGGCCCCUAUCGAUUUUCGAUCCUCAGGAUGUUCUACGGGGAUUUUCUUCUUU
Long non-coding RNA from Apis florea (little honeybee), 260 nucleotides. The record is from RefSeq and is a predicted model, not a curated record. Lineage: Eukaryota; Metazoa; Arthropoda; Insecta; Hymenoptera; Apidae.